Molecule: ribosomal RNA, 477 nt
Filed under: uncultured organism
Description: partial 16S ribosomal RNA
Rfam family: Bacterial small subunit ribosomal RNA
Source: RNAcentral
ACACUCCUGCGGGAGGCAGCAGUGGGGAAUUUUGGACAAUGGGCGAAAGCCUGAUCCAGCCAUGCCGCGUGCAGGAUGAAGGACUUCGGGUUGUAAACUGCUUUUGUACGGAACGAAACGGCCUUUUCUAAUAAAGAGGGCUAAUGACGGUACCGUAAGAAUAAGCACCGGCUAACUACGUGCCAGCAGCCGCGGUAAUACGUAGGGUGCAAGCGUUAAUCGGAAUUACUGGGCGUAAAGCGUGCGCAGGCGGUUAUGUAAGACAGUUGUGAAAUCCCCGGGCUCAACCUGGGAACUGCAUCUGUGACUGCAUAGCUAGAGUACGGUAGAGGGGGAUGGAAUUCCGCGUGUAGCAGUGAAAUGCGUAGAUAUGUGGAGGAACACCGAUGGCGAAGGCAAUCCCCUGGACCUGUACUGACGCUCAUGCACGAAAGCGUGGGGAGCAAACAGGAUUAGAAACCCGAGUAGUCCCAUGAU